Molecule: RNA transcript, 4615 nt
Organism: Anopheles merus
Lineage: Eukaryota; Metazoa; Arthropoda; Insecta; Diptera; Culicidae
Exons: 3
Source: RefSeq, a predicted model, not a curated record
AUCCAAACAAAAACUAUCAAAAUAAACGGAAAUUAGGUACAUGUGCUCUCGUCGGCCUCUGCCACAGUGUUACUACCCGUGUCAGCUUGUCGUCUCCGGUGUGCACAUGUACGAUACGUGCGAGUGGCCAACGGGUUGGGGGGAGGAAAUCGUCCUUCAGAAUGACCAGUCUGCCAGGUAAGAUGCUAUCGUUCCUCUUCGCCAUGGUGUUAUCGCGUUGCAUCUCUUGCAGGUAUUCCGUCGUCCAGUGUUUCCAGAAGCGCUGCACCAUUACUUGCAUAUUUUGCAAGUCGCUAGAACGAUGGGUGUAGUCCGAAGAGGACAGGGUGCAGGAACGAAGAUGGGUGUAGUCCGGCUCGGGGACAGCAUGCAUCGAUGUGCCCACGAGGAAAUGCGCUGGGGUAAGUGCCGAUGGAUCGUUAGGGUCGUCUGACAUAGGUAGGAGAGGACGCGAGUUCAUCGCCGCCUCAAUCUGAUGUAGGACAGUUGUGUAGCCUUCGUAGGAUAGUCGCGUGCUGCCUAACUGCCGAAAAAGGUGUCGCUUGGCGGUCUUCACAGCUGCUUCCCACAAUCCGCCGAAAUGUGGUGCCUUGGGAGGGGUGAAGUGCCAAUUGAUGGCGCGGUUAGUGCAAUCUGUCACAAUUAGAUGUAGCUGCUGUUCAUCGCGAAACAUUUCGAACAGCUCGUGAAGCUCCCUCGCCGCGCCUUCGAAGUUUUUCCCGUUGUCCGAAUGUAUAUGUGCCGGUAAAUAUGUGCCGCGUCAUGCUGUGAAUCUGUGUAAUGCAGCUAAAAAACCAGCAGUAGUUAGAUCACUUACCAGCUCCAAGUGUACGACCUUAGUGGAAAAACAAACAAACACGCAGAGGUUGCAUUUUCCCGGGGCAGCUCGUUCAUCGGAUGGCUUCAGGUAUAAUGAACCGGCGUAAUCCACUCCGGUAACAUUAAAAGGCCGGCUGGGAGUGAUGGGCUGCGCUGGAAGCUGUCCAAGUUGUUGCUGUUCAAGUGUCGGUCGCUGUCGAAUGCACCGAAAACAAUUCUGCACAAUGUGCUUAAGAAGAUGCCUUCCAUCUAACGGCCAAAACACUUCGCGAAUUCGAGAUAAGAGCAGCCUUCCUCCUCCAUGACGAAGCUCCUCGUGUUGAUACUUUGCGAUCAAUUGCGCGAACGGAUGUUUCUUGGGAAUCAAAACAGGAUGCUUCGCUUGGUAGGGAAGUUGAGAUAGCCGUAAAUGUCCCCCUACACGGAUAAUCCCUUGUUCGUCAAGGAAUGGACUUAGUGCACGUAAAGGUGAUUGCCUCAUGACUUCGUUUCCCUUUUUGAGCUGCCCGAGUUCAGCUGAAAAUGCAUCCUGCUGUGCUAGGCGGCUUAACACAGUGUUUGCUGUUUGCAUGUGCUCGGGUGUGACGAUUAAAGGUGCUGGGUGCAGUGCUGCUGUUCGAUGAGUGCGUGCCCUUUCUUUAGCAUUACGUGUGAAGCGAAUGCAGUAUGAUACGAUACGCAGCAAUCGCUUGUAGCUAGAACACAACGCAAACCAAGGGUGAUUAGUGGUUGUGUUUACAACGGCAGCACUCACCUGGCUAAUCUCUAGAUUCGUUUCGUUGGCUGGUUCCGGGUUAGAGUUGGGCCAGAUGGAAGCGGGCAAAGAUAACCAAUCCGGACCGAAGCUCCACAGUUUGCUUUUCAGGAAUUCAGCGGCUGACAUGCCUCGCGAAACCAGAUCAGCAGGAUUAGACGCGCCGGGUACAUGUCUCCACUGCCGCGAGUGUGAGUAAUGCUGCACUUCAGAUACCCCGUUAGCUACAAACGUUACCCAUGUGUUGGGUGUGGCGCUGAUCCAGGUUAAGGUGAUGGUGGAAUCCGACCAAAAGAAAGAUUCUGCAACGUUGAUCCCCAUCGCCUUCUUUACUCGGUGAUGCAGGUGUGCUCACAAUACAGCAGCGCAUAGUUCAAGGCGGGGUAGUGUGACGCCCUUGACCGGUGCCACACGCGAUUUGGAAGAAAGCAACGUUAUGCGAAUCUGCCCACCUUCGCCUUCACAACGCGCAUAAAUGCAGGCUCCAUAUGCUGCCUCCGAUGCAUCAAAGAAGAUAAUAUCUGGAACAUAGUCGUCCCAAUCAGCUUUCUGCAACCAUAAUUCCUGCAUCAUCAUCUUGGCCCGAAUGACAAUCGGGAGAUCAGGCCCAGCGGAUCGAACAUGCGAGCUACGUUAGGUAGAAUGGAUCGCUUUGUUGGAAUGGACACAUCACUGAAUAUUGCGGAUUCGAAGGAUAAAACGUCAUGCUCUGGCUCCCAUGAAACACCAAGAGCCUUUACCGUCUCGUGUGGUAAGAAUUGCCGCGCUGACUGUGUGCCGAUUUGAUCCGCAUUUAAACCGGCGAGCACCUCGAGCUGAUUGGAUGUCCACUUUCUCAGCUCGAAGCCGCCUUUGGCGAGCAAUUGAGAAAGCUCGAUUCGCAACUGGCGAGCAUUUCCGAUGGAAUCAGCACCACCGAUGAAAUCGUCAACGUAGAAGUUAGUUUUCAAAGCAGCUGCAGCAUUGGGACAAAGGGCGCCCUCAUCGUUUGCAAGCUGCAGCAAUGUUCUGGUUGCCAAGAAUGAUGAGAGGGCUAAGCCAUAGGAAACUGUAUUCAGCUCAAAAUAUUCGAUUGGCGAGUGAGGCGAAAAUCGAAAGCAAAUGCGUACAAAUUUCCGGUCGUUAGGAUGGAGCAAUACUUGUCGAUACAUUUUCGCAAUAUCUCCAACAACGGCUACCUUAUAUGUGCGGAAGCGCAAAAUUAUUCCGAGCAGAUCGUCCUGCACGAAAAGGCCGACGCAUAACGCCUCGUUUAGCGAAAAGCCGGUGGACGUCUUAGCUGAAAUACCACGCGAACCUUUGUUGUGGAGCUAGCGGCUUUGAACACGGGAUGGUGAGGCAGAUAAUACGCGCAUUCGUCGUCGGAGGGAUUUUUUAUGCGUGACAUGUGCCCAAGCUCCAGAUACUCACGCAUGAAAUCAUGGUACGCCGCUUUUACGUUUUGAUCUCGUUCUUACCUCCUUUCUAGCAAACUAAACCGCCUUAGUGCUGCUGCUUUCGAAAGGCCAAGCUUAUCAUCGAAGUCUGCUUGUUUAGGGGGCGUCCAUAAAUUACGUAACGCUCAAAGGGGGGGAGGGGGUUCCCUGUAGCGUUACGGUUUGUUACAUAGGGGAGAAGGGGGGUUCACAUUCUGUUACGUAACGUAAUACAAUCCUAUCACUGGCCACUGACAAAUGAUCGCCCACCUGGGUAAGUUUUGCACUUUUAUUUCUUUAUAUCUUUUGAUAGGGAGUACGAACUUGACAUUUAUAAAAUACCAAAACAGAGGUUUGACAGAAAAUUGCCAUGAAAAAAUCCACCGUGUAAUACAGGUUUAAGAGCCGUGUGUCUCAGGUAAAGACUGUAGUUUUCAAUCUUACCGUCAACAAAAUUCAAACAGUUACAUGUCAUUCUACGCUAAACGCAUCGACCUGUAUAUUAUUGUUGGUAAACAACAGUCGUGCGGUGCUGUCAAUCAGGAUUUGUUGGAUAAUUCGGCUGCCUCGAUCAUCCGGAAAAAAUAGUGUGAUUCAAACGUUCGCAUUCCUUGACGACGGAUCGUCCCCGACGUUUGUCGAAGACGAUCUCGUUCACGAGCUUGGACUGGAAGGGCAACAUCGACCCUUGUGUCUUAAAUGGACGGGCGGUACUCGACGAGAAGAGCCAGACUCUAUGCAGGUGUCGCUGCAGGUAUCUGCCUUAGGCGGGAAAACGUUUCAGAUCAGUAAAGCACAUACAGUCGCGAGCCUUGCGCUUCCUGCGCAAUCCUUGUGCGUUACGGAUUUGCUAAGCAGAUACGAUCAUCUUCGAGGUCUGCCGCUUACUUCGUACGAUCACGUACGACCAAGGCUACUGAUCGGUAUGGACAACUGCCAUCUGGGACGGGAGCAGAACGUUGCCGAAGGACGAAUAGGAGAACCAAUAGCAGCCAAAACUAGGCUCGGCUGGAUAGUGUACGGGCCUGGUGCGGUAGUGCCAAAGAUAGGCUGGCGAGAUCGAGGAAAAGGAGUUAGUCUAGAGCCAGUAGAGACUAGUACGGUUUCGUUUUCAAAGCCAUGUACCGAGGGUCCUGGCUGGCAGGAAAAAAAUUCAAAACGCUUUUUGACGGUCGCGCGAGGUUCUUCAGGUCAGUUUGUGAAGCUAGGGAAUACGUUGAUUGCUGAUGCGUUGAUUCCGAGGAGCCGCUGGCCAAGGGGUCGAGUGUUGAAAGUAGUGGUAGCGAAAGAUAGGCAAGUGCGUCGGGCCUCAGUCCAAACCGCGCGGGGGGUUUUAGAAAGACCUGCAACAAAGAUAGCGGUAUUAGAUGUCCAAGGGAAAAUGUUCUUACCGGAGAGCAAGGAGAGAGAGGGAAUUAAACAGCACCGACGAAGGUUAGUAAACCGCGUGGUUUACUCGGGGCAGAAUGUUGGUAAACAACAGUCGUGCGGUGCUGUCAAUCAGGAUUAGUUGGAUAAUUCGGCUGCCUCGAUCAUCCGGACCACCCGGAUGAUCGAGAAAGGGAAUUCGUAAAGUUACGAGACAGGGAACGAUUAAGCGGUAGUAGCGAAGAAACAGGCAAAUAAA